Molecule: long non-coding RNA, 666 nt
Filed under: Nicotiana tabacum (common tobacco)
Lineage: Eukaryota; Viridiplantae; Streptophyta; Magnoliopsida; Solanales; Solanaceae
Description: long non-coding RNA (NTAB_LNC001623)
Source: RNAcentral
CUUUGAGUCUCCAAUCGCCAACCUUCAUUGUGCGAAUCUAGAGUUCCAUCGUUGGUUUGAUUUGCUCUAUCAACUCCUAACUCCAAAUAAGCAAUGUAUUGAUUGUGCCGACACCAUUAUUCCAGUGAGGUGAGGUGGCUGUUUGUUUUGGUUCAGUGGUUGUGCAAUCCAUGCUACUUUCAGCGUUGUGACUUCGCGAGCUUCACUGUACAUGGAUGAGUCUUAAUUGAUUAUAUUGAUUGAAUCAAGAGCUUUGUGUGGUAUUUUUUGGUCAUUUAUAUAUUCUCUUAUGUGAGCUAUGGAGUGCUAUUGUAGGACUUUCUCUUCUUUUAAAUAGGCAUACUUGGCAACAUCAAUUGACUUGAAUUUACUGAUUCAGAUAUAUUCUUUUCAUAUAUGUUUAAUGUACUUGAAUUAAAUUUAGUAUUCAUUUUCUUUUAGAUUUUAUCAUUGGUAUCUGGUUUUUAUUACACUUUUGAGUAAUCUUUUUUACAUAUGUUUAAUUUACUGGAUUGAAAAAAUUUAAAGGCUCUAACAUCGAAUGGAUCUCCCCUUCUUAAUCAUGCAGGAGCGUCAGCCCUUGAGCUGGAAAUAUUACACAAAAGAAAUUGGUCCUCGCUUGGUAGACAUGUACUAAGAGGCAUGUGAAAGUAUGUGAGGCAUCCG